RNAcentral lists this ribosomal RNA (236 nucleotides) under uncultured bacterium. RNAcentral describes it as "partial 16S ribosomal RNA". It matches the Rfam family "Bacterial small subunit ribosomal RNA", at positions 96 to 334 of the family's 1533-position model. The record is from RNAcentral.
UGGCGGACGGGUGAGUAAUGUCUGGGGAAACUGCCUGAUGGAGGGGGAUAACUACUGGAAACGGUAGCCAAUACCGCAUAACGUCGCAAGACCAAAGAGGGGGACCUUAGGGCCUCUUGCCAUCGGAUGUGCCCAGAUGGGAUUAGCUAGUAGGUGGGGUAAAGGCUCACCUAGGCGACGAUCCCUAGCUGGUCUGAGAGGAUGACCAGCCACACUGGAACUGAGACACGGUCCAG